Molecule: long non-coding RNA, 300 nt
Organism: Rhopalosiphum padi (bird cherry-oat aphid)
Lineage: Eukaryota; Metazoa; Arthropoda; Insecta; Hemiptera; Aphididae
Exons: 2
Source: RefSeq, a predicted model, not a curated record
AUCCCUGCAAGUAAAUAGAUAAUAUUUAAUAAGUACAAAUCUUUAGGACUACAGUAUAAUAGUUUAUUGCACUGCAAAUUGUAUAAACUACAAGUCUUUAAAGAUGAUUCAUACAUAAAAGAUGUUUUUUUUUAAUUGGUGAGACAUGCAGAAGUUAUGAAAAAACUAAUCAAAAUGAUGACAAAACGAAGAAAACAUUUAAAAGUGCACAUGUAUUUAAUUAUAUUUUUGAAAUUUGUACAAUCAGUUAUACCAACUAUAGAAUAUGAUUAUACACAGAAUAUUAAUUUAUAGUAAUAA